Long non-coding RNA from Triticum aestivum (bread wheat), 1873 nucleotides. RefSeq lists it as uncharacterized. The record is from RefSeq and is a predicted model, not a curated record. The transcript has 7 exons. NCBI's taxonomy places the organism in Eukaryota, Viridiplantae, Streptophyta, Magnoliopsida, Poales, Poaceae.
GGAGGGGGAGUAGGAGGGGGAGUAGGGGGACGAGGAGGGGGGUAGGUGAGGCAGAAGGAGGCGGCGGACGGGGAGUACGUAAAGCAGCCCGGAGUAGAGCACCUCUUUCUUCUCCUGGACCCUCUGAUGCAGUGCUUCCUCGUGCACAGGAGGAGGAAACAGAGGAUGGGGAUGAGGUGAGCGAGGAGGAGGACGAGGAGGAUUUUGUGGAGGAGGUGGUGGAGGAGGAGGAGGUGGUGGAGGACGCCGCCGCCGAGAGGAGGCUGGUUGUUCGUCAGGUUUCUGAGGGUGGGGAUGGACCCUCACGGGUGACAGAGCACCAUGAGGUGAGCGGCUCACAACCGAGCGGUUCGACUAUCAGCACUACUUUAGAGGGAAAGCGUGGUUGCGUGGUCCUUCAAAGCUUCCAAGACGUCCAUAUGUGCAUAGAGACGUGUUGAUUAAACCAAUGGGAGAGAAAAGCUUAGUAAAAGGUGGUGAGAGGCGUCUGCCACGGUAGCCGAGUGGCAUCAUUGGGGUCUUUGUAGGUUAAAUUAUCCUGGACUGGUCACUUUGCCGAACGGUAUCAUUGAGCCAGCUUGGUCAUGGGAUCACUACAAACUUGCACCGGAUUUCCUGGAUAUGCGUCAGAGGGUUUAUGAUAACAGAGCCAUGCGAGUGGUCAACGAUUUCUGGGAUUUCUAUACAUGCGUUGAGGGUCAGAAGGAUCGUGCAAAUGUGAUGGUUGAGAAUAUUGCCAAGAAACUAGUCCACGACAUGCACUAUGAGGAGCGCGUCCGGUUAGUGGUCAAGUAUCACGCAGACUAUCUCAACCAGAAGAUUUCCAAACAGGAGGCUCGAGGGAAGCAUCUUUCAUGGGACAAUUACUUCAAAGCAGGUGAUUCCUCGGUGGUGCACUGACAAACGUCCGUGCUGGGAGAAGAUCAUCAAACGGUGGACAGAUCCAGGGUGGCAGGAUGAACACAAAGCAAUAUCUGAAUGACGUAAGUUGAUGGGCUGUCGAGGACACCGUCAAGUCAAACUCACCAUCCCAGGUGUCGUCUCAAAACAUAAAGAAGACACUGGCAAUGAUAUCACUUACUUCGAUGCAUGGACCAUCAGACGUACCAAAGGUGACAAGGACAAGGACCCUCUCCACCCGGAGAGGGACUGGAUCAGCUAUAAAGCCCGGUCAGAUGGAGAGAACUACACCGAAAAAUUGAAGGAGACGUACGGGCCUGACGCUGAUCCUCAUGUGCUACCGUUUGACCCUCUUGUGGCCAUUGUCGCGGCAUGCGGUAGACCGAAUGGCCGGAUGGCGGUUCACCUUGAUUCUAUCAUAACCUUCUCCCUUCCGAGAGUCAACACGCUCCGUGCUAUGAGUAUUGGCUCUACUCCUACCGUAGAGCGUCACAUACCACAUUUCAUGAGCAUUAUUGAGGAUAUUCAGACUUGACUGAUUGACACCGAGAAAGAACGAGAUGAAAACUGGGCCAAGCUGAAGGCACAAAAUGAUCUAAUGAAGUCUUUACAACAUGUGGUGGCCAAUCUUUAUUCCAUGCAAGGCCAACUAGUGCCAGAGAUACCACCGAUGCUAGAGUGGAACAUUCUCAACCCAUCACAAGGGUCGAACAAUGUUCCGGUAGUUCCACCUCAAGUUGGUGGAGUUGGGGCAACAAACGGAAUGAUGCCUUCUAAUGUUGAUGGUAUCACUCCGGUUGGUGGAGUUGGGACAGCAAACGGAAUGAUGCCUUCUAAUGUUCACGUUAUCACUCCGAUCUCCAAAAUCGCGUGAACUUCAUGUUAUGUUAUGUUUGAAAAUGUUCCUUGUAUGUUCAGAAGUCUUGCAUCUUGAGACUUGUAAACUUGUGGUAGUUGAGUGUCUUGACUACUA